GAUGAACGCUAGCUACAGGCUUAACACAUGCAAGUCGAGGGGAAACGAUAGAGAAAGCUUGCUUUUUCUAGGCGUCGACCGGCGCACGGGUGAGUAACGCGUAUCCAACCUGCCCAUCACUUGGGGAUAACCUUGCGAAAGUAAGACUAAUACCCAAUGAUAUCUCUAGAAGACAUCUGAAGGAGAUUAAAGAUUUAUCGGUGAUGGAUGGGGAUGCGUCUGAUUAGCUUGUUGGCGGGGUAACGGCCCACCAAGGCGACGAUCAGUAGGGGUUCUGAGAGGAAGGUCCCCCACAUUGGGACUGAGACACGGUCCAAACUCCUACGGGAGGCAGCAGUGAGGAAUAUUGGUCAAUGGGCGAGAGCCUGAACCAGCCAAGUAGCGUGCAGGAUGACGGCCCUAUGGGUUGUAAACUGCUUUUAUAAGGGAAUAAAGUGAGUCUCGUGAGACUUUUUGCAUGUACCUUAUGAAUAAGGACCGGCUAAUUCCGUGCCAGCAGCCGCAGUAA
This 508-nucleotide ribosomal RNA is filed under the name uncultured bacterium. RNAcentral's name for it is "partial 16S ribosomal RNA". It matches the Rfam family "Bacterial small subunit ribosomal RNA", at positions 28 to 523 of the family's 1533-position model. The record is from RNAcentral.